CAUGUAGGCGGAUUAAUAAGUUUGAAGUGAAAUCCUAUAGCUUAACUAUAGAACUGCUUUGAAAACUGUUAGUCUAGAAUGUGGGAGAGGUAGAUGGAAUUUCUGGUGUAGGGGUAAAAUCCGUAGAGAUCAGAAGGAAUACCGGAUUGCGAAGGCGAUCUACUGGAACAUUAUUGACGCUGAGAUGCGAAAGCGUGGGGAGCAAACA
This 208-nucleotide ribosomal RNA is filed under the name uncultured Arcobacter sp. RNAcentral describes it as "partial 16S ribosomal RNA". It matches the Rfam family "Bacterial small subunit ribosomal RNA", at positions 568 to 774 of the family's 1533-position model. Lineage: Bacteria; Pseudomonadati; Campylobacterota; Epsilonproteobacteria; Campylobacterales; Arcobacteraceae. The record is from RNAcentral.